This 72-nucleotide transfer RNA is filed under the name Staphylococcus pseudintermedius. RNAcentral describes it as "tRNA-Glu". It matches the Rfam family "tRNA". From Rfam's summary of the family: Transfer RNA (tRNA) molecules are approximately 80 nucleotides in length. Their secondary structure includes four short double-helical elements and three loops (D, anti-codon, and T loops). The record is from RNAcentral. Lineage: Bacteria; Bacillati; Bacillota; Bacilli; Caryophanales; Staphylococcaceae.
GGCCCCUUGGUCAAGCGGUUAAGACACCGCCCUUUCACGGCGGUAACACGGGUUCGAGUACCGUAGGGGUCA